CAGGCAGCUCUGUAAACCGAAAUCCUUUAUUGAGCCAUAGAUCAGAUACAGCAUGAGCUGUGGUAAUACAAGCUUCUGCACCCUGCCCAGCAAUGUGCUUCAAUCCUGACCUGGAAGAGCUACCUCUGAGAGAUGAAAGUGUAAAUUCAUUCAGUGCCUUGGUCUUUCUUCUGAGUCU
Molecule: unclassified non-coding RNA, 178 nt
Organism: Chelonoidis abingdonii (Abingdon island giant tortoise)
Lineage: Eukaryota; Metazoa; Chordata; Testudines; Testudinidae
Source: Ensembl